AUUGGACCGGUUCUAAACUGCCCUCCGUGAUUGGACAAUACUGAUCAGUAAUUACUCGAUUCUACCAGUCACGUUGCUCGUCCUGCCCGGCAGGUAGGAGGUGGGCCUUAUGCCGGAGCCGCAUCCUACUGCCUUACUAUUGGUCGUCGGCAACCGCUUUGUUAGUUAAUUGGAGAGAAUGGAUGUCCAUCAGGGUCACGCUUGCAGGGCAACGAGAGGCAAAACAAGAGGGAAGACGACUUUCCUCCCGUGAGCCAAUGAGGCCAGCUGGGCUACCCCGAGACAACUGGGAGAAGCGUGGGACUCGCCCGUUCCGCGGAACGCCGGGAAGGGGUCACCUCCUGAUGAAGUUUCCGGUUCCGGUGUCAGCGGCGGUUGAAUUGCCAUGGCAACGCGGUUAGCGCGCGCUUGUGGUGUUGGUCUCUUGGGAGGUAGCGGGGCUAGGCCGGGCCGGUAUCCGCCUCUCCCGGCUUAGGUGAGCGUCCCCGGGCGCCUCCGGAGCGCCGCGGCCGCAUGCGGUUCGUGGUGGCGGGGAGCGGGAGCCUGACCGGGGUUCCAGCGCUCGGGCCGUAGCCUUGGCUCCUCGACUCUCCCUGGCUCCGUCGCCACGUGGGAGCUGAGGCUCUGGGGCUUCCGCCUCCGGCGCGCGAUUAUUUCUCUAGAACAGUUUUCACUUUUAAAAUUUGUAAAGCGCUUUUGCCUGUGUGAUUUCCUCUGGGUUUCUUUUUUCUUCCUUUUUUUAGAGACGGAAUUGGCGUCGGGGGUGUGUGUGGGGGGGUGGGGGCGAUAUCUCACUUUGUUGCCUAGGCUGGUCUCGGACUCCUGGCUUCAAGGGAUCCUCCUGCCUUGGCCUCUUAAAGUGUUGGGAUUACAGGCGUGAGCCACCGCCUCCGGCCGCCUCUGAGUUUCCAGCCUCGUUGGCCCUCCAGCCUUUUAAGCUGUUGGGCCUAGGAUCAGGAAAGGUUUGUUGAAUGGGGAACUAAGAAAUGAAUUCGUUCGUUCGACAAACGUUUCCUGAGCAGCCGCUGGGUGCUAGGCGCGGUGCCAGCGCGGAAUGUCCAGGGAGACCUGGUGCCCAAAGCUUGGACCCAGCGUGAGAAAUGAGAAGCAGAUACAAAGUAGUGUGGGAGUGCAGAGGAGACAAAGCAAGCCUCAUUAGGCCCAUUGCUUGCUCUGCUCUCCCUUGUACUUACCGGUGCUUGACAAUAUACAGUUAUUUACUAGCUUGGUUAUUGACUUCCCUACCUGGCACUCAACUUUAUUCACUGCUGUAUCCUCAGUGCCUAGGACGAUGCUUGGAACGUGAUUCAUUGAUUCCAGGUAAAUCAGAGGAACAAGCAACAUGAACAGAAAUAUGUAGAAAAUGCUAUUAUGCAGAAGCAUAAUUGUUGUUUCAGAAGUCCAGCAUCUGAUGCACUUAACAAUAGAGAAUAUAUUAAACUCUUUCCAAAAUAA
Molecule: long non-coding RNA, 1455 nt
Organism: Pongo pygmaeus (Bornean orangutan)
Lineage: Eukaryota; Metazoa; Chordata; Mammalia; Primates; Hominidae
Exons: 2
Source: RefSeq, a predicted model, not a curated record